AAAGGCGAAAAGAACCCCGGCGAGGGGAGUGAAAAAGAACCUGAAACCGUGUACGUACAAGCAGUGGGAGCACGCUUAGGCGUGUGACUGCGUACCUUUUGUAUAAUGGGUCAGCGACUUAUAUUCUGUAGCAAGGUUAACCGAAUAGGGGAGCCGAAGGGAAACCGAGUCUUAACUGGGCGUUAAGUUGCAGGGUAUAGACCCGAAACCCGGUGAUCUAGCCAUGGGCAGGUUGAAGGUUGGGUAACACUAACUGGAGGACCGAACCGACUAAUGUUGAAAAAUUAGCGGAUGACUUGUGGCUGGGGGUGAAAGGCCAAUCAAACCGGGAGAUAGCUGGUUCUCCCCGAAAGCUAUUUAGGUAGCGCCUCGUGAAUUCAUCUCCGGGGGUAGAGCACUGUUUCGGCAAGGGGGUCAUCCCGACUUACCAACCCGAUGCAAACUGCGAAUACCGGAGAAUGUUAUCACGGGAGACACACGGCGGGUGCUAACGUCCGUCGUGAAGAGGGAAACAACCCAGACCGCCAGCUAAGGUCCCAAAGUCAUGGUUAAGUGGGAAACGAUGUGGGAAGGCCCAGACAGCCAGGAUGUUGGCUUAGAAGCAGCCAUCAUUUAAAGAAAGCGUAAUAGCUCACUGGUCGAGUCGGCCUGCGCGGAAGAUGUAACGGGGCUAAACCAUGCACCGAAGCUGCGGCAGCGACGCUGAUGCGUUGUUGGGUAGGGGAGCGUUCUGUAAGCCUGCGAAGGUGUGCUGUGAGGCAUGCUGGAGGUAUCAGAAGUGCGAAUGCUGACAUAAGUAACGAUAAAGCGGGUGAAAAGCCCGCUCGCCGGAAGACCAAGGGUUCCUGUCCAACGUUAAUCGGGGCAGGGUGAGUCGACCCCUAAGGCGAGGCCGAAAGGCGUAGUCGAUGGGAAACAGGUUAAUAUUCCUGUACUUGGUGUUACUGCGAAGGGGGGACGGAGAAGGCUAUGUUGGCCGGGCGACGGUUGUCCCGGUUUAAGCGUGUAGGCUGGUUUUCCAGGCAAAUCCGGAAAAUCAAGGCUGAGGCGUGAUGACGAGGCACUGCGGUGCUGAAGCAACAAAUGCCCUGCUUCCAGGAAAAGCCUCUAAGCAUCAGGUAACAUCAAAUCGUACCCCAAACCGACACAGGUGGUCAGGUAGAGAAUACCAAGGCGCUUGAGAGAACUCGGGUGAAGGAACUAGGCAAAAUGGUGCCGUAACUUCGGGAGAAGGCACGCUGAUAUGUAGGUGAAGUCCCUCGCGGAUGGAGCUGAAAUCAGUCGAAGAUACCAGCUGGCUGCAACUGUUUAUUAAAAACACAGCACUGUGCAAACACGAAAGUGGACGUAUACGGUGUGACGCCUGCCCGGUGCCGGAAGGUUAAUUGAUGGGGUUAGCGCAAGCGAAGCUCUUGAUCGAAGCCCCGGUAAACGGCGGCCGUAACUAUAACGGUCCUAAGGUAGCGAAAUUCCUUGUCGGGUAAGUUCCGACCUGCACGAAUGGCGUAAUGAUGGCCAGGCUGUCUCCACCCGAGACUCAGUGAAAUUGAACUCGCUGUGAAGAUGCAGUGUACCCGCGGCAAGACGGAAAGACCCCGUGAACCUUUACUAUAGCUUGACACUGAACAUUGAGCCUUGAUGUGUAGGAUAGGUGGGAGGCUUUGAAGUGUGGACGCCAGUCUGCAUGGAGCCGACCUUGAAAUACCACCCUUUAAUGUUUGAUGUUCUAACGUUGACCCGUAAUCCGGGUUGCGGACAGUGUCUGGUGGGUAGUUUGACUGGGGCGGUCUCCUCCUAAAGAGUAACGGAGGAGCACGAAGGUUGGCUAAUCCUGGUCGGACAUCAGGAGGUUAGUGCAAUGGCAUAAGCCAGCUUGACUGCGAGCGUGACGGCGCGAGCAGGUGCGAAAGCAGGUCAUAGUGAUCCGGUGGUUCUGAAUGGAAGGGCCAUCGCUCAACGGAUAAAAGGUACUCCGGGGAUAACAGGCUGAUACCGCCCAAGAGUUCAUAUCGACGGCGGUGUUUGGCACCUCGAUGUCGGCUCAUCACAUCCUGGGGCUGAAGUAGGUCCCAAGGGUAUGGCUGUUCGCCAUUUAAAGUGGUACGCGAGCUGGGUUUAGAACGUCGUGAGACAGUUCGGUCCCUAUCUGCCGUGGGCGCUGGAGAACUGAGGGGGGCUGCUCCUAGUACGAGAGGACCGGAGUGGACGCAUCACUGGUGUUCGGGUUGUCAUGCCAAUGGCACUGCCCGGUAGCUAAAUGCGGAAGAGAUAAGUGCUGAAAGCAUCUAAGCACGAAACUUGCC
RNAcentral lists this ribosomal RNA (2303 nucleotides) under Escherichia coli. Its description in RNAcentral is "partial 23S ribosomal RNA". It matches the Rfam family "Bacterial large subunit ribosomal RNA", at positions 510 to 2798 of the family's 2925-position model. The record is from RNAcentral. Lineage: Bacteria; Pseudomonadati; Pseudomonadota; Gammaproteobacteria; Enterobacterales; Enterobacteriaceae.